RNAcentral lists this long non-coding RNA (718 nucleotides) under Homo sapiens (human). RNAcentral describes it as "HSALNT0026060". The record is from RNAcentral. Lineage: Eukaryota; Metazoa; Chordata; Mammalia; Primates; Hominidae.
CGCCGAGAGCACUGCACUGGACGCUUGGUGCAGUGCAUCUGAUUUCAUUCUCGCAGUAACUCUCUAAGUGUCUGCAGCCAGUGUAGGAGUGACUUCCCACAAAGUGUUAAGCGACAGUGAGACGCUGGCGGUUUUCCAGGGCACUGAGGCCGUGGGCAGGCUGGCUGGCCCCACCAGGGGAAGUGUUUGCAGUCCUGGUCGAUGGGCACACAAGGUAAGCGGCGAGCCCUUCCGGAUGGGUUCCUCCCAGGCACAGGCUGCCCUGCUUCACAUCCAUUUUCUCAUAAACCUCAGACUGAGCCCUGAGAGGCUAUCAUCUGAAGGUUUAAAAAUGCCAAAUCCAACCCUUUGGGACACAAAAGUACAAGAUAAACAGCUCUCUGUUCUGGAAUCCGAGCAGCCUGCCACCGUCUUCAUUGUCUGCCCUGGCUGUUAACCCAGCGCCGACAGCCACGUGUGAGGGCUCUGUGCUGACCCCCUUGCGGCUGCUCAGAGGCAGAAGUCAGGAUUCCCGCGGGGGCUGCCUCUCCGUGGGUCACUUUCCUUCUCUGUCAAGGGCAGAUAAGAGCCCCUCUACUCAACACAGUGCAAUCUGGAAAAUAAAUACAACCGUGAAUGGGAAUAUGUUUUGUAAAUUUAAGCAAUCUGAGUAGUGGAGGCGUUAUGAAUGCUGCACAUUUGGGUACAGAAUCUCCCCCUGGAACAAGAUGGUCCCUGC